This 240-nucleotide unclassified non-coding RNA is filed under the name soil metagenome. Its description in RNAcentral is "partial contains 5.8S ribosomal RNA, internal transcribed spacer 2, and large subunit ribosomal RNA". The record is from RNAcentral.
AAGACUAUAGACCUGCGGAGUACCUGCGGAAGGAUCAUUAACGUAUCUAUGAUGGGGUGCGGAGCGCCCUGCUCCGGUCGAACGGCCGUGCAGCGGGUGCGCCGCCCCCGUCCCACCUCACAAACCCACUGUGAACAUUCACCGGUGGAGGGGGCUCGGUCUGCGCCGUGUCCCCGAUGCCGAAUACCCAAACUCCAGUAGCAAAGAACGUCGUGCGGACUCGGUGCCGCCUAAAACAUG